AGAGUUUGAUCCUGGCUCAGAACGUACGCUGGCGGCACGCCUAAUACAUGCAAGUCGAACGAAGUAGCAAUACUUAGUGGCAGACGGGUGAGUAACAUGUAGGUAUCUGCCCUUUGGCCUGGAAUAACACGAGGAAACUUGUGCUAAUACCGGAUAAGUCUUUACGGAGAAAGCUUAAUGCACCAUUGGAUGAGCCUGCACUUGAUUAGUUUGUUGGUGGGGUAAUGGCCUACCAAGACUGUGAUCAAUAGCUGAUUUGAGAGGAUGAUCAGCCACAUUGGGACUGAGACACGGCCCAAACUCCUACGGGAGGCAGCAGUGGGGAAUCUUGCACAAUGGAGGAAACUCUGAUGCAGCGAUGCCGCGUGAGUGAAGAAGGCCUUUGGGUUGUAAAGCUCUUUCGUCGGGGAAGAAAAUGACUGUACCCGAAUAAGAAGGUCCGGCUAACUUCGUGCCAGCAGCCGCGGUAAUACGAAGGGACCUAGCGUAGUUCGGAAUUACUGGGCUUAAAGAGUUCGUAGGUGGUUGAAAAAGUUGGUGGUGAAAUCCCAGAGCUUAACUCUGGAACUGCCAUCAAAACUUUUCAGCUAGAGUAUGAUAGAGGAAAGCAGAAUUUCUAGUGUAGAGGUGAAAUUCGUAGAUAUUAGAAAGAAUACCAAUUGCGAAGGCAGCUUUCUGGAUCAUUACUGACACUGAGGAACGAAAGCAUGGGUAGCGAAGAGGAUUAGAUACCCUCGUAGUCCAUGCCGUAAACGAUGUGUGUUAGACGUUGGAAAUUUAUUUUCAGUGUCGCAGCGAAAGCGAUAAACACACCGCCUGGGGAGUACGACCGCAAGGUUAAAACUCAAAUGAAUUGACGGGGACCCGCACAAGUAGUGGAGCAUGUGGUUUAAUUCGAAGAUACGCGCAGAACCUUACCAACACUUGACAUGUUCGUCGCGACUCUAAGAGAUUAGAGUUUUCGGUUCGGCCGGACGAAACACAGGUGCUGCAUGGCUGUCGUCAGCUCGUGUCGUGAGAUGUUGGGUUAAGUCCCGCAACGAGCGCAACCCUCACUUUUAGUUGCCAUCAUUUAGUUGGGCACUCUGAAAGAACUGCCAGUGAUAAGCUGGAGGAAGGUGGGGAUGACGUCAAGUCCUCAUGGCCCUUACGUGUUGGGCUACACACGUGCUACAAUGGUAUCUACAACAGGAAGCAAAACUGCGAAGUUAAGCAAAUCCUUAAAAGAUACCUCAGUUCGGAUUGCACUCUGCAACUCGAGUGCAUGAAGCUGGAAUUACUAGUAAUCGUGGAUCAGCGUGCCACGGUGAAUGCGUUCCCGGGUCUUGUACACACCGCCCGUCACACCAUGGGAGUUGGUUCUACCUUAAGGCAAGGUUUCAAACCCUUGACCACGGUAUAGUCAGCGACUGGGGUGAAGUCGUAACAAGGUAACC
RNAcentral lists this ribosomal RNA (1436 nucleotides) under uncultured bacterium. Its description in RNAcentral is "bacterial SSU rRNA". It matches the Rfam family "Bacterial small subunit ribosomal RNA". The record is from RNAcentral.